UGGGUUGUAGCUCAGUGAUAGAGUGUGUACUUAGCAUGUGCAAGGUCCUAGGUUCAAUCUCCAGCACCAA
This 70-nucleotide transfer RNA is filed under the name Marmota monax (woodchuck). Its description in RNAcentral is "tRNA.Ala". Lineage: Eukaryota; Metazoa; Chordata; Mammalia; Rodentia; Sciuridae. The record is from RNAcentral.